Non-coding RNA from Oryza sativa Japonica Group (Japanese rice), 2660 nucleotides. Lineage: Eukaryota; Viridiplantae; Streptophyta; Magnoliopsida; Poales; Poaceae. The record is from RefSeq and is a predicted model, not a curated record.
UGGGAUAGUUCAUAGUUUAGUGCCCACCUACCCAACCACCGGGAACACCUCAUUCUCUUCUCACGCCGGCGCCGCGGCGUCUCGUCUCCUCCCACCGCAACCUUUCUUCUUUUGCUUAGCUUUCACUUACACUACCCCUCGCCGCGCCUCGCCGCGCGACGCGGCCCUUUCCCGCCACCAACCCCUCGCCGCGCCCGCCUCGCCUCCGGAGACCGCCGGAGGAUGGAAACCUCGCCCGCGCUGCGCCCCGCCCACAUCCCCAGAUCCACGGCCGUCCGCCCGCCGUGCGCCACCCCUUUCUCCCGCGCCCACUGGCACGCCACCUGCGCCGCCAUCCGCCGAGUCCCGCGGGUGAACGGCGACAGCAACAGUAGCAUCAAGCCCGCCCUCGCCGACCACGCCGCGCCGCCGCUCGACCUGGAUCUGCUCCCCGUCUCCAACCUCCCUCGCCCGCUCACCAUCACCGACCUCUCCCCCGCGCCCAUGCACGGCAGCCAGCUGCGCGUCGCCUACCAGGGUGUCCCGGGGGCAUACAGCGAGGCGGCGGCGGCGAAGGCCUACCCCUCCUGCGACGCCAUCCCCUGCGACCAGUUCGAGGUGGCCUUCCAGGCCGUCGAGCUCUGGAUCGCCGACCGCGCCGUCCUCCCCGUCGAGAACUCCCUCGGCGGCAGCAUCCACCGCAACUACGACCUCCUCCUCCGCCACCGCCUCCACAUCGUCGGCGAGGUCCAGCUCCCCGUCCACCACUGCCUCCUCGCGCUCCCGGGCGUCCGCAGGGACCUCCUCACCCGCGUCAUCUCCCACCCGCAGGCGCUCGCCCAGUGCGAGCUCACCCUCAACGCCAUGGGCCUCAACGUCGCCCGCGAGGCCUUCGACGACACCGCGGCCGCCGCCGAGCACGUCGCCGCCGCGGGGCUCCGCGACACCGCCGCCAUCGCGUCCUCCCGCGCCGCCGAGCUGUACGGGCUCCAGGUGCUCGCGGACGGCAUCCAGGACGACGCCGGGAACGUGACGCGGUUCGUGAUGCUGGCGCGGGAGCCCAUCAUCCCGCGAACGGACCGGCCAUUCAAGACGAGCAUCGUGUUCGCGCACGACAGGGAGGGCACGUCGGUGCUCUUCAAGGUGCUGUCGGCCUUCGCGUUCCGGGACAUCAGCCUCACCAAGAUCGAGAGCCGCCCACACCGCCACCGCCCCAUCCGGCUCGUCGACGACGCCAACGUGGGCACGGCCAAGCACUUCGAGUACAUGUUCUACAUCGACUUCCAGGCGUCCAUGGCGGAGGUCAGGGCGCAGAACGCGCUGUCGGAGAUACAGGAGUUCACCUCCUUCCUCCGGGUGCUCGGCAGCUACCCCAUGGACAUGACGCCAUGGGAGUAUUCCUCCUCAUCGUCACCAUCACCGGCGCCCGGCGGCGACACCAGCAGAUAAUGCUGAUCGAUCGACAAGACUGAUGCUCAAAUUCUGCUAUUAGAUGUCGCAGGAGCCGGGGAAAAGCUGCAGGCCAACAUCAGACUUGCAUCUGGGAUGACGAGGAUAUUAGCUAUUUUUUUGGGACCCUGGAUCCAAAGGAUCAACGGUGCAGAAGGCAUUCCACCCACAAUGAGAAUCGCUUUUAGUUUUUGCCGUGAGCAUAUGUGGUCAAUUAAAACUUGUGCUGACACUCCGUUUCUCUUGCUGGGAUGCGGUGCCUUCAGUCUUCGGAGGCGGCUCAAACUUUCUAUGGCUGCGAUGCGGUGCCUUCAACUUCAAUCUUCGGAGGCGUCUGAAACUUUCUAUGACUGGGAUGCGUGGGAAGCGUUGCCUUCACUCUGAAGAGGCAUCUGAAACUCUUUGUAUGCCACGCUAGUUAUUACAACCAAUGAGAAGUUGCUACUUGGAGCGUGGAGGCGAGAGAGCUAGAUCUCACGUGAAGGUGACGACAGUGGUGACGGAGCCGGAGCUCGCACGAAGGAGGGGGCAAUGGUGGCGGAGCUGGAGCUUGCAUGAAGGCGGUGAUGAGCUCGUCGUCGUCUCCUAGCAUGACACACGGACAACAGCUGCGAAGAAGCCGCCACCACCUUCUCAGCCUAGACUGUCGUUGUCGCAUCUCGCACUCGUGCUGGCAUCUCGCUCUUGAGAAAGCCGCAAAUCUCAUCUCCUCCUCGGCCUCCGCCGCAAGGAGCCUGCAGAUCUCAAACUCAAGGAGGCAGCCGCUGUCACGCUUCUCUUCCUCGGCCUACACCUCGACGAGACGGUACGUAGGAUGCUAUCGGGGCUCCUUCUGUGUGGGCAAGCAGCACCGCGGCAGUGUGUUUGCUGUGAGGAGGACGAGGCCUGAUAGGGCCAGCCACUAACGUCGUCGCAAGCUUCAGCUAUGGCAGGGAGGGGGAGAGAGAGAAAAAGAUAGAGAAAGGGGAAAGGGAAAAGUAUGAUAGGUGGGGCCCACCUAUCUUUUAGAAAAAAAAUGCUGACUGCAAUGCCACAUAGGGCCAAAAUUAUUCCGGAUAUUGAAUAUGGACAAGGAUGGGUUAUUUGUCCGUUUUAAAUAGUUGAGGGUGAAAAAUGUCUGGUAUUCGUGUUCAGGGGGCUGACCAUGAUAGUUUAGGGGUAAUCUAGAUUUUUUUUUCAUUAGAAAAAAUGCAUGGCAAAGUGCUUGACAAUGGUAAAUUUUCUCUUUUUUC